GACGAACGCUGGCGGCGUGCUUAACACAUGCAAGUCGAACGGAAAGGCCCUGCUUUUGUGGGGUGCUCGAGUGGCGAACGGGUGAGUAACACGUGAGUAACCUGCCCUUGACUUUGGGAUAACUUCAGGAAACUGGGGCUAAUACCGGAUAGGAGCUCCUGCUGCAUGGUGUGGGUUGGAAAGUUUCGGCGGUUGUGGAUGGACUCGCGGCUUAUCAGCUUGUUUGUGGGGUAGUGGCUUACCAAGGCUUUGACGGGUAGGCGGCCUGAGAGGGUGACCGGCCACAUUGGGACUGAGAGACGGACCAGACUCCUACGGGAGGCAGCAGUGGGGAAUAUUGCACAAUGGGCGGAAGCCUGAUGCAGAAACGCCGCGUGCGGGAUGACGGCCUUCGGGUUGUAAACCGCUUUCGCCUGUGACGAAGAGUGAGUGACGGUAAUGGGUAAAGAAGCAACGGCUAACUACGUG
Molecule: ribosomal RNA, 468 nt
Filed under: uncultured bacterium
Lineage: Bacteria
Description: partial 16S ribosomal RNA
Rfam family: Bacterial small subunit ribosomal RNA
Source: RNAcentral